This 450-nucleotide ribosomal RNA is filed under the name uncultured bacterium. RNAcentral's name for it is "bacterial SSU rRNA". It matches the Rfam family "Bacterial small subunit ribosomal RNA", at positions 29 to 526 of the family's 1533-position model. The record is from RNAcentral.
AACGAACGCUGGCGGCAGGCUUAACACAUGCAAGUCGAACGCCCCGCAAGGGGAGUGGCAGACGGGUGAGUAACGCGUGGGAAUCUACCUAGAACUACGGAACAACACAGGGAAACUUGUGCUAAUACCGUAUACGCCCUACGGGGGAAAGAUUUAUCGGUUUUAGAUGAGCCCGCGUAAGAUUAGCUAGUUGGAGAGGUAAUGGCUCACCAAGGCGACGAUCUUUAGCUGGUCUGAGAGGAUGAUCAGCCACACUGGGACUGAGACACGGCCCAGACUCCUACGGGAGGCAGCAGUGGGGAAUAUUGGACAAUGGGCGCAAGCCUGAUCCAGCCAUGCCGCGUGAGUGAUGAAGGCCUUAGGGUUGUAAAGCUCUUUCACCGGAGAAGAUAAUGACGGUAACCGGAGAAGAAGCCCCGGCUAACUUCGUGCCAGCCGCCGCCGUAAAAC